RNAcentral lists this ribosomal RNA (1001 nucleotides) under uncultured bacterium. Its description in RNAcentral is "bacterial SSU rRNA". It matches the Rfam family "Bacterial small subunit ribosomal RNA", at positions 1 to 996 of the family's 1533-position model. The record is from RNAcentral.
GAAUUCGCCCUUAGAGUUUGAUCCUGGCUCAGGACGAACGCUGGCGGCGUGCCUAACACAUGCAAGUCGAGCGGGGAUAUGGAGGAGCUUGCUCCGAGGUAUUCUAGCGGCGGACGGGUGAGUAACGCGUGAGCAACCUGCCUUUCACAGGGGGAUAACGCAUCGAAAGAUGUGCUAAUACCGCGUAAGACCACGGCACCGCAUGGUGCAGGGGUCAAAGGAGGAAUCCGGUGAGAGAUGGGCUCGCGUCCGAUUAGCUAGUUGGUGAGAUAACAGCCCACCAAGACGACGAUCGGUAGCCGACCUGAGAGGGUGAUCGGCCACAUUGGAACUGAGAGGCGGUCCAGACUCCUACGGGAGGCAGCAGUGGGGAAUAUUGGGCAAUGGGCGAAAGCCUGACCCAGCAACGCCGCGUGAGGGAAGAAGGGUUUCGGCUCGUAAACCUCUGUCCUAUGGGACGAAGGAAGUGACGGUACCAUAGGAGGAAGCCCCGGCUAACUACGUGCCAGCAGCCGCGGUAAUACGUAGGGGGCGAGCGUUGUCCGGAAUGAUUGGGCGUAAAGGGCGCGUAGGCGGCCUAUUAAGUCUGGAGUGAAAGUCCUGCUUUCAAGGUGGGAAUUGCUUUGGAUACUGAUGGGCUGGAGUGCAGGAGAGGAAAGCGGAAUUACCGGUGUAGCGGUGAAAUGCGUAGAGAUCGGUAGGAACACCAGUGGCGAAGGCGGCUUUCUGGACUGAAACUGACGCUGAGGCGCGAAAGCGUGGGGAGCAAACAGGAUUAGAUACCCUGGUAGUCCACGCGGUAAACGAUGAAUGCUAGGUGUAGGAGGUAUCGACCCCUUCUGUGCCGCAGUCAACACAAUAAGCAUUCCGCCUGGGGAGUACGGCCGCAAGGUUGAAACUCAAAAGGAAUUGAAGGGGGGCCCCCCAAGCCACGGGAGCCUGUGGGUUUAAUUCGAAGCAACGCCAAAAAACCUUACCCAGGUUCUUGACUUCCCACCAAA